CCUACGGGUGGCAGCAGUAGAGAAUCAUUCACAAUGGGGGAAACCCUGAUGGUGCGACGCCGCGUGGGGGAAUGAAGGUCUUGGGUUUUUAAACCCCUGUCAUGUGGGAGCAAAUUAAAAAGAUAGCACCACAAGAUGAAGAGACGGCUAACUCUGUGACAGCAGCCGCGGUAAUACGGAGGGCUCAAGCGUUGUUCGGAAUCACUGGGCGUAUAGGGUGCGUAGGCUGUUUAGUAAGUCGUGUGUGAAAGGCGCGGGCUCAACCUGCGGACGGCACAGGAUACUGGGAAACUAGAGUGAGGGAGAGGGAAGCGGAAUUCUCGGUGUAGCAGUGAAAUGCGUAGAUAUCGGGAGGAACACUCGUGGCGAAGGCGGGUUCCUGGACAGUAACUGACGCUGAGGGACGAAGGCCAGGGGAGCAAAAGGGAUUAGAUACCCUAGUAGUC
RNAcentral lists this ribosomal RNA (446 nucleotides) under uncultured bacterium. RNAcentral describes it as "partial 16S ribosomal RNA". It matches the Rfam family "Bacterial small subunit ribosomal RNA", at positions 338 to 795 of the family's 1533-position model. The record is from RNAcentral.